CAAUAAGCCCAACUGACUACGUUACACGGGGCGUACUCUAAUGUACGUUUAGCGUACUGGCUUGCUAGAGAGUACGCGGGGCGUACCUACAAUUACGCUCGGUGUACUUACUCUGUUAAGACACUUCCCAUUAAGCGCUUAAUACUCCGACUCAAGAGCCAUAAACUUAGAUCUAGGUCUUAUUCCAUGCCCUAAUCCAUAAAGUCACUGAAUUGGUGACUUUAUAUGGCCCAAACCAACUCAAACUCCCAAACUAAAUUUCUACUUCCAUAAAUGGGACUAGAUCUCAUGCAUGGACUUAAUAGGACCAUAAAGGUUGGAACUUUAUUGCUUAUGGGACUCAUAUGUCUCUAAGGGAGGCAACCCUGGUCUUAAAAACGAGGUUAAGUCAUAAAGUCCCAAUCUUGGGACCAAAAGGUCCAUAAACUUCUACAAAGGAGAUCUAAGAGGUUAAUCAUCAAGCUCAAGACUUUUUACCUUGCAGAGGUCCGAAAUGAAGCACUUAUCCCAGAUCUACAAGCUCUAGCUUCAAAGGUUCCUCCUUGCCAACCUUCUUCUCUUUGCUUCCAAGCUUUAAUCCACCAAAAUGGGUUCUCCAAGGUCAAGAACUCAUAAGAUGAAGGUAGGGACGUUCUAGGGUUUCUUCUGAGGUUGGGGAGGCUCAUAUGGGGGCUAGGGUUGGAACCAUAAUGUCCUUUAUAUAGUGCUCAAUCCUAAAUUAGGGUUUCAUAACUUUUUAGCAUACGCUGGGCGUACCUCCUGGUACGUUGGGCGUACGCCUUGGACACCCGCGACCCAACUGCCUCAUUACGCUGGGCGUACCCACACGUGUUCCAAACAUGCAUGAAUGGUCUUCUAUGCAAACCCUACUCUUUAAGGGCCAUUCUCGCCAAAUCUUCAAAGUGACAUAACUCCUUCAUUCUAGAUCCGUUUCUGAUGAACUUUAUAUCCACAGAAAGGUGGCGAGAAAUCCUACGCUUCUAACAACCUAACCCGACCCGGAAACUUCUCGAAUAAUAAUAACUCCAAAUUAAAAAAGGACUAAAACACCCCUGGCCUUGGCCUUUGAAAUUCUAUAAAUGAAUAUUUUAGAACAGGGCGUUACAACUCUCCCCCACUUAAACUAGACUUCGUCCUCGAAGUCCGAUAUGGUCAACUAUUUCACAACCCACUUACUGCAUACCACAAGCUAUGCACUGGACACUUUUCGCUAUUUAGCAAUUGAGUACCCAUUAAUGAACUAGUCGAAUUCUACCGUAGUCUGAUUUCCUUUACUGCCACUGACUGAAAAUUUUUGUUUUCCCUUAUCUGCCUUCCGGAUGAACCGAGACCGCCUUGGUCCUUUCUGAUGCCUCCAUAUCUUGUUUACCGGACUCCUACCGAUGACUACACCCCAUCGCAAUCUCAUAGUCGCUUUCAGCGACUUCUAAAGAUACUUCGACUAUCUAUAACCAUUCUAUCCAUUCUGCCACCCAUACUGAAUCGAUGCUGCUGGAACCAGCCUUCUUAUCUCUCAUCUGACUACCCAACCUCCAAAAACUGAGUCUCCCUUCCCGAAAGAAAGGCUACCAGCCUAAUUACCCUUGCAGAUCACUUAUACUUGGCAGAAGAAUUAACUGAUCCUGCUGAGAGGGACUUGCCAUUCCCAAAUCAACCAACUAUACCGUCCUUACUUGAAUUACGACAUAAAUACUAAUACUGCCCAAAACUCUGAAACUAUCCGAACACUGAACUGCCUGCAAUAUUGAACAUGCCUGAAACUCUGAACAGCCUGAAACACUGAGCUGCCUGAAACACUAAACUGCAUGAAACACUAAACAUGCCUGAAUCACUGAAUACGCCUGAAACACUGAACUGCCUGAAACACUGCUUCCCAAAUUAUCUCAAGACCUUCCUGGUCUCCAAUCAUUUGUCGGUUAUCUGCAACACUGAGUUCCAAAUCAACUGUGGAGUCAAAGGACUCCUCACUUAGUCGCUCCCACGACUUCUGAAUGAAAUCUUUCUCUGGAACUAGUGUCCACUAGUUAUCCUGUCACUGUGGCUCUAUCAACCUCCCGAUCCACCGAUCAGGUCCAAACGUCACAUCCUGACAUCAUCAAUUCCACAACUAACAACAUGAUGGCUCCCAGACUAACGGUAGCCCCUAACAUACCCGAACCCCAACGGUCCACUGCUACUCUGAUCUCAUAACUGAGGUGACGAUCAGACUAUCGAAUCGUUGGCUUAACCAUAACUGAACCGUUUGGGAGAUCCGAAAUCUAACCCGUGGAUUCCCAUAUCAUCACUGCUACACCCAAACUGGUGGGUACUACUAUUUCCCCCGCGUCCAAAUAACACGCUCAUGCUAUCUACUAACUUGACGAGCGCUACGGCUACUUCCGCAGACUUACAACACUAUACUACUAUCUGACUGCUAGUGAAUGCUACGGCUACCCCCGCAGACUUACAACACUACUACUACUACUACUAUCUGACUGCUAGGAAUUCUACGAUUACCCCCGUAGACUUACAACACUACUACUACUACUAUCUGACUGCUAUUGAAUGCUACGGCUACCCCCGCAGACUUACAAAACUACUACUACUACUACUAUCUGACUGCUAGUGAAUGCUACGGCUACUCCUGCAGACUUACAACACCACUACUACUAUCUGACUGCUAGUGAAUGCUACGAAUACCCCCGCAGACUUACAACACUACUACUACUACUAUCUGACUACUAGUGAAUGCUACGGCUACCCCCGCAGACUUACAACACUACUACUACUACUACUAUCUGACUACUAGUGAAUGCUACGACUACUCCAGCAGAAUUACAACACCACUACUAUUAUCUGACUGCUAGUGAAUGCUACGGCUACCCCCGCAGAGUUACAACACUACUACUACUACUACUACUACUACUACUACUACUACUACUACUAUCUGAGGACAUCUUGACUAUCCCUAGUCCUACUAGUGAUUCCUCAUCCUGAUUUCUCAAAACCAGCCUUCCAUCUUCGAUUACUGGAUCAACCUCGACAUCUUAUAUCCUUGAUAUACUUAGCGCUUCAUCGAGGAAUUCUUCUGCUUGGUUCUCAAACCAACUGUCUACUAAUCUGGAUACAAGAAGCUAUUGUUGGGAAGUUUCCAAACUCCCAACUCCUGAAUCUGCACAACCCUGCAUGUUGACUCUGUCAGUGGCUAAUAAUACGAAAGCAUCUCUUGCUAAACGUUCUCAGGAUCCUCANACUCACUAGAGCCCUACCGGUGGUCCUCCAAUCCUGGAUUCCCAACCAGCUUCUAACCAUCUCGAUUACAUGAACCAAUUGUUGGGAAGUUCCUCAAACUCCCAAUUCUGAACUCCUCAAUCCAUCAAUCAUUGUGCUACUAUCUUUUCUUCCCAGAGGCCGCGUACUCAUUCUGGGUCUACGUGCUCUUAUCCUUGAAUACUCGGAGGGUUCUCCCCCACUUGGAUUCGGCUAACUCAUUAUUGCUCACUAGUCGAAAGGAUUCCCAACCUUCCUUCCAUUAAAAGGGCGAUUUGCUGUCCGCCAACGUUUACCUCUGUCAGCGCUCCAACUAACUCUUACCAGACCUGAACCAUUCUUGCUAUAUACUGAGCACCCUUCAAUCCUUAACUAUAUUUGCUUUAGGGACUACAUCCCGAGAACCUGCGUUUGGGGUGCACAUCCCCAAUCCACUUCCCCACUGACUGCUAGCUACUCCACUAAAAACUCUGGCUUGUUACUACUGAGAAUAUAACUGAUCAUUACCCAACUAACACCUUCCGCAAGUAGUGAGACACUACAGAAUCUUACACAUACUUGCUACAGUUACUGUAUCCAAAGUAACCUGAUCUAGAGGGGACACCCUCCAAUUCACCAUUCAAUUCCAAGGUAUGCAGAUGGCAUAAAUCUCCGUCGCAAGCAGGUAAUAUAAUACCCCAACACAUAUGCUUAUUGACAUCAAUGCAGCAACAUAACAAUAAUAUCAUGAAUAAUAAUUGACAGGGAGGUAAAAGAUACAUACCUCCAUCACUUGGCGCUGCCCGAAUCCUUGCUGAAAUCAGCCGGAAAACUCGGCUCCGAGCCGUGGGCGCCCUUGCCCGGCUUCGGCAACCGCUGGCGGUACUUGAAGUCCCAAGGGCAGGAGUUGGCACCUACCCUGUUGUAUACAAACUCGGACAGUGGGCCUUCUUGUGGCCCCUCUGACUACAAUGGAAAGAUAUCGGAUCAAGACCAUGGGUGAUGGUAACAAUACAAUCCCUGCUAAAAUGGCCAAUCUGGCCGCACUUGAAACAUCCGGCAUCGCCACCACUUCUAUGCCUACACGCACCCAGGUGUGUCAUACCGCACUUCCCGCAUCGACUACGGCUCUGAUAGUCCCUCGUCCUCAAAUCCGACCCCUUGGGCCUCUUACCCGAACCUAUGGCUACUUGAGUCUCAUCCGUUUUCCUCUUCCUUUCCGAUUCCCUUCCCGUCUCUCGCUCUUGUGUUACCUUGUCGACACCGCCCGUCGACUGAACAACAGCUGUCUAAUCUUGGAGCUUCGCGAUCAACCUAUCUGUGAUCCUCACGACCAUAUCGGGCAGAUCCUCACGAAUGGCUCCCCCCACCUCCUCCACUAUCCAAUCAUGCAGAUGUCUCNAUCUGUGAUCCUCACGACCAUAUCGGGCAGAUCCUCACGAAUGGCUCGCGUAACCUCCUCAAUUAUCCAAUCAUGCAGAUGUCUCUCUUGGAGACAGGAUGCCCCACUCACUCUUAUCCACUGAUGACAAAAACUAGAAAUGGGAUCUCCUUCCCCGCUGGAUCCCAGAACUCCAUAAGCAUCGGGCUCUAUACGAGCCCCAAUCUGUCCUGAAACUAUCCCGGCCCUACAGGCCUCCAGAUGACUGUCCAUAAGCUCCACGAUGGCCUCUCUAACCGAACCAAAAAUCACUGGAGUCUGAUCGAUGAUGUUACGCGUGAUCUCUGCGGAAAUGAAAUCCCUCAUUUGAUUAUCAAGCUGCCCGGCUCCAAAGUCCGAGUUAGAUCCCUCCCCAGUACCUAAACUGCUAACUGGUAUCUCACGCAACGUCACCAUGUUGGAAGCACAACACACUACUGAUCACUAUACGCACCGCUGCUGAGGGACCUCUCACACACCCUAAAAGUUCCCUGGUCUUGUCUCGGCCCCUCUUGAUUCGAGUACGGAUCCUUUGCUUUCAGUAGUACGGGCCCAUACUACCUUCCACAUCUAUCUGUACUUUCCUCAAGAGUUACCUCAACUCCCCCAAAUCACUUAACUGUUACUGAUCUCUGCUACUACCUUCCUAGGCUUGCCCUAAGGAACUUCUGACUCCACCUAAACCAGUCCUCAACUGUUGAAGGCCUCCUUGUAAUGCCAAUUAGCCACCACCUGAAUACCAUCACAUGCAAUGAGGCUCGGAUAAUCCUUCGAGUAAAAGACUUGUCCCUACAACGGUUGGACUCAGACAAGAGCUGCGCAAUAGGGCCAAAUCCAGCACUCUGAGAUUAUUCAACCCUGCUCACAUGUGAUGUGACGUAUUCACCUAAUGGCUAACUCCCAUCACUCAGAGUCCCACAAAGCACAAAGCAUGCAACAUUCGGACACAGGAAAUUACUCAAGCAAAUCUAUUCUCACAACGAGAAACUGUACUAGCAUACAUUGAUAGGCUCAUAUAUCAAGCAUAACCUAAAAAGGCUAUCCUACUACUGUCUACUCACUACUAGCAUGCAAUUCUCAUAAGGCUGAAACACAUAAGCAGGCACAUAAGGCAUCCUCCUAGAUCCUUAGUCCUAUACUAGCAUGCUGUUCUACUGAAGCUGAAAUUGAACUGAAACUGGAACUAAAACUGAAACUGAAACUGAUAAUCAUAAACUUGUAUGGGUAAUUUGGGAGUACUUACUUGAGCUCGGAUGAUUGCAUACACCACACCCUUUUUCUCUUUUCAAGUUAUUUUCUUUCUAACUAUUCUUUUCGCUUUUUCUAAAACUUUUUUUUAACUCCUUUUUACCAAGAAUUCCUUUCGAAAAUGUUUUUUUUUAAAACCAUUUACCGUUUCCUUAGUUUGAGUCCAGACACACUCUCAAGUAUGUCUGAAUCCCUCAAACCAAGGCUCUGAUACCAACUUGUAACGCCCAAAAAAUCAUGACUAAAAAUUUCUUUUUAAAACACUACUAAAACCAUAUUUAUAAAAACGUAUCAUAAGUCCUAACAUAACUUUCGAGUAUUAAAUUCAAAACAUAAUCUCAUUAUCAGAGUAAAACAUUCCCCAGGCUAACUGACUAUGGUGUGUGCACUGCAAUCUCUCCGAGCUCCUCUUUUGAGAAUUGAGUACCUGAAACCAAAACUGAAGACCGUAAGAAUGAAGCUUAGUGAGCUCCCCCAAACUACCACAUACCAUACAAUAACAUUUAGAGCGCAUACUGGGGCUUGCCCACUGCAUCGGACCGAGGUCCGGACUAUCAGGGGCCUUGUCCCCUGCAUUGGACCGAAGUCUGGAAACUGACUGGGACCUUGUCCCCUGCAUCGGACCGAAGUCCGAAAACUGACUGGGACCUUGUCCCCUGCAUCGGACCGAAGUCCGGAACUAACUGCAAAGCAUAACAUAAACAUGUCAACUAGCAUGAACACACAUAUACUGCAUACUGCAUCGGGCCGUGGCCCGGAACACAUAACACAUAAAUCCUAUCUGAGCCACGAAGGCAUCAAACAUACUAACUACUGCAUCGGACCGAAGUCCGGAAACUACUGCUAGCUAAACGGGCCGACAUUAUGGCCUUAGACCCAUUCCUACUGGAAGGAAACUCACCUCGGAAUGCUGGCUGCUGAAAGCUCGAGUGAAAGACCCCCGGCUGCUCUCCGGCUAUCAUGACAAGGCAAACACUAAAUAAAAAGGGAAAUCUUUUGAUGACCAUUUUACCCCUACUAUGGUGUGGGUCAUAACCAAGGCCCAAAACCUUUAAUUCUUCUAAGCCCAUCCAUGGCCCCACUAAAGGCCCACUAAUGGCCCAAUUUGCUCCUUUGGGCCCAAAGCCCUUUAUUGGACCUUACUCAAGUCCAUUAUUAAAUCCUUGGUCAUUAGCAACUGAAUUCUAAUGUCCCAAUAGGGCCCAAGGACCCUAAGUCUCAACUCAGCCCACACUGAGGCCCAAAAUGCAAUAAGCCCAACUGACUGCGUUACGCGGGGCAUACUCUAAUGUACGCUUAGCGUACUGGCUUGCUAGAGAGUACGUGGGACGCACCUGCAAUUACGCUCGGCGUACUUACUCUGUUAAGACACUUCCUAUUAAGCGCUUAAUACUCCGACUCAAGAGCCAUAAACUUAGAUCUAGGUCUUAUUCCAUGCCCUAAUCCAUAAAGUCACUGACUUGGUGACUUUAUAUGGCCCAAACCAACUCAAACUCCCAAACUAAAUUUCUACUUCCAUAAAUGGGACUAGAUCUCAUGCAUGGACUUAAUAGGACCAUAAAGGUUGGAACUUUGCUGCUUAUGGGACUCAUAUGUCUCUAAGGGAGGCAACCCUGGUCUUAGAAACAAGCUUAAGUCAUAAAGUCCCAAUCUUGGGACCAAAAGGUCCAUAAACUUGUACUAAGGAGAUCUAAGAGGUUAAUCAUCAAGCUCAAGACUUU
Molecule: long non-coding RNA, 7617 nt
Filed under: Lactuca sativa (garden lettuce)
Lineage: Eukaryota; Viridiplantae; Streptophyta; Magnoliopsida; Asterales; Asteraceae
Description: long non-coding RNA (LSAT_LNC002827)
Source: RNAcentral